GACGAACGCUGGCGGCGUGCCUAAUACAUGCAAGUAGAACGCUGAAGAGAGGAGCUUGCUCUUCUUGGAUGAGUUGCGAACGGGUGAGUAACGCGUAGGUAACCUGCCUUGUAGCGGGGGAUAACUAUUGGAAACGAUAGCUAAUACCGCAUAACAAUAGGUGACACAUGUCAUUUAUUUGAAAGGGGCAAUUGCUCCACUACAAGAUGGACCUGCGUUGUAUUAGCUAGUAGGUGAGGUAACGGCUCACCUAGGCGACGAUACAUAGCCGACCUGAGAGGGUGAUCGGCCACACUGGGACUGAGACACGGCCCAGACUCCUACGGGAGGCAGCAGUAGGGAAUCUUCGGCAAUGGGGGCAACCCUGACCGAGCAACGCCGCGUGAGUGAAGAAGGUUUUCGGAUCGUAAAGCUCUGUUGUAAGUCAAGAACGAGUGUGAGAGUGGAAAGUUCACACUGUGACGGUAGCUUACCAGAAAGGGACGGCUAACUACGUGCCAGCAGCCGCGGUAAUACGUAGGUCCCGAGCGUUGUCCGGAUUUAUUGGGCGUAAAGCGAGCGCAGGCGGUUUGAUAAGUCUGAAGUUAAAGGCUGUGGCUCAACCAUAGUUCGCUUUGGAAACUGUCAAACUUGAGUGCAGAAGGGGAGAGUGGAAUUCCAUGUGUAGCGGUGAAAUGCGUAGAUAUAUGGAGGAACACCGGUGGCGAAAGCGGCUCUCUGGUCUGUAACUGACGCUGAGGCUCGAAAGCGUGGGGAGCGAACAGGAUUAGAUACCCUGGUAGUCCACGCCGUAAACGAUGAGUGCUAGGUGUUGGAUCCUUUCCGGGAUUCAGUGCCGCAGCUAACGCAUUAAGCACUCCGCCUGGGGAGUACGACCGCAAGGUUGAAACUCAAAGGAAUUGACGGGGGCCCGCACAAGCGGUGGAGCAUGUGGUUUAAUUCGAAGCAACGCGAAGAACCUUACCAGGUCUUGACAUCCCGAUGCUAUUUCUAGAGAUAGAAAGUUACUUCGGUACAUCGGUGACAGGUGGUGCAUGGUUGUCGUCAGCUCGUGUCGUGAGAUGUUGGGUUAAGUCCCGCAACGAGCGCAACCCCUAUUGUUAGUUGCAAUCAUUCAGUUGGGCACUCUAGCGAGACUGCCGGUAAUAAACCGGAGGAAGGUGGGGAUGACGUCAAAUCAUCAUGCCCCUUAUGACCUGGGCUACACACGUGCUACAAUGGUUGGUACAACGAGUUGCGAGUCGGUGACGGCAAGCUAAUCUCUUAAAGCCAAUCUCAGUUCGGAUUGUAGGCUGCAACUCGCCUACAUGAAGUCGGAAUCGCUAGUAAUCGCGGACCAGCACGCCGCGGUGAAUACGUUCCCGGGCCU
This 1369-nucleotide ribosomal RNA is filed under the name uncultured bacterium. RNAcentral describes it as "bacterial SSU rRNA". It matches the Rfam family "Bacterial small subunit ribosomal RNA", at positions 28 to 1381 of the family's 1533-position model. The record is from RNAcentral.